UACAGAGGGUGCGAGCGUUAAUCGGAAUUACUGGGCGUAAAGCGCGCGUAGACGGUUAUUUAAGUCAGAUGUGAAAGCCCCGGGCUCAACCUGGGAAUUGCAUUUGAGACUGAAUAGCUAGGGUGCGGUAGAGGGAAGCGGAAUUUCCGGUGUAGCGGUGAAAUGCGUAGAUAUCGGAAGGAACAUCAGUGGCGAAAGCGGCUUCCUGGACCAGCACCGACGUUCAGGCACGAAAGCGUGGGGAGCAAACAGG
RNAcentral lists this ribosomal RNA (253 nucleotides) under uncultured bacterium. RNAcentral's name for it is "partial 16S ribosomal RNA". It matches the Rfam family "Bacterial small subunit ribosomal RNA", at positions 524 to 776 of the family's 1533-position model. The record is from RNAcentral.